RNAcentral lists this ribosomal RNA (910 nucleotides) under Talaromyces pseudostromaticus. RNAcentral's name for it is "LSU rRNA". It matches the Rfam family "Eukaryotic large subunit ribosomal RNA", at positions 38 to 966 of the family's 3401-position model. The record is from RNAcentral. Lineage: Eukaryota; Fungi; Ascomycota; Eurotiomycetes; Eurotiales; Trichocomaceae.
GCAUAUCAAUAAGCGGAGGAAAAGAAACCAACAGGGAUUGCCUCAGUAACGGCGAGUGAAGCGGCAAGAGCUCAAAUUUGAAAUCUGGCCUCUUUGGGGUCCGAGUUGUAAUUUGCAGAGGAUGCUUCGGGAGCGGUCCCCAUCUAAGUGCCCUGGAACGGGACGUCAUAGAGGGUGAGAAUCCCGUCUGGGAUGGGUGGCCGCGCCCGUGUGAAGCGCCUUCGACGAGUCGAGUUGUUUGGGAAUGCAGCUCUAAGCGGGUGGUAAAUUUCAUCUAAAGCUAAAUACUGGCCGGAGACCGAUAGCGCACAAGUAGAGUGAUCGAAAGAUGAAAAGCACUUUGAAAAGAGAGUUAAAUAGCACGUGAAAUUGUUGAAAGGGAAGCGUUGUCCACCAGACUCGCCCGGGAGGGUUCAGCUGGCACUUGUGCCGGUGUACUCCCUUCCGGGCGGGCCAGCAUCGGUUUGGGCGGCCGCUAAAAGGCCUCGGGAAUGUAGCACCCUCCGGGGUGCCUUAUAGCCCGAGGUGACAUGCGACCUGCCUGGACCGAGGUUCGCGCUUCGGCGAGGAUGCUGGCGUAAUGGUGGUCAACGGCCCGUCUUGAAACACGGACCAAGGAGUCUAACAUCUAUGCGAGUGUUCGGGUGUCAAACCCGUCCGCGCAGUGAAAGCGAACGGAGGUGGGAACCCUUUGGGUGCACCAUCGACCGAUCCUGAAGUCUUCGGAUGGAUUUGAGUAAGAGCAUAGCUGUUGGGACCCGAAAGAUGGUGAACUAUGCCUGAAUAGGGCGAAGCCAGAGGAAACUCUGGUGGAGGCUCGCAGCGGUUCUGACGUGCAAAUCGAUCGUCAAAUUUGGGUAUAGGGGCGAAAGACUAAUCGAACCAUCUGGUAGCUGGGUUCCUGCCGAAG